RNAcentral lists this ribosomal RNA (713 nucleotides) under uncultured bacterium. RNAcentral's name for it is "bacterial SSU rRNA". It matches the Rfam family "Bacterial small subunit ribosomal RNA", at positions 777 to 1500 of the family's 1533-position model. The record is from RNAcentral.
AUUAGAUACCCUGGUAGUCCACGCAGUAAACGAUGAAUGUCAGCUGUCCGGGACUUCGGUCCUGGGUGGCACAGCGAAAGCGUUAAACAUUCCACCUGGGGAGUACGCCGGCAACGGUGAAACUCAAAGGAAUUGACGGGGGCCCGCACAAGCGGAGGAACAUGUGGUUUAAUUCGAUGAUACGCGAGGAACCUUACCCGGGCUCAAACGUGACUGGAAUGUCCGCGAAAGCGGGCAGCCCUUCGGGGCCGGUUACGAGGUGCUGCAUGGUUGUCGUCAGCUCGUGCCGUGAGGUGUCGGCUUAAGUGCCAUAACGAGCGCAACCCCUACCGACAGUUGCUAACAAGCGAAGUUGAGGACUCUGUCGGGACUGCCGGCGCAAGCUGCGAGGAAGGCGGGGAUGACGUCAAAUCAGCACGGCCCUUACGUCCGGGGCGACACACGUGUUACAAUGGCGGGUACAGCGGGAGGCCAUGCGGCGACGCAGAGCGGAACCCGAAAACCCGUCUCAGUUCGGAUUGGAGUCUGCAACCCGACUCCAUGAAGCUGGAUUCGCUAGUAAUCGCGCAUCAGCCACGGCGCGGUGAAUACGUUCCCGGGCCUUGUACACACCGCCCGACAAGCCAUGGGAGCCGGGGGUGCCUGAAGUGCGUGACCGCAAGAAGGGCCCUAAGGUAAAACCGGUGACUGGGGCUAAGUCGUAACAAGGUAAC